UAAAUCAGCGUUAUUGCUUGGGAUGUCU
RNAcentral lists this small RNA (28 nucleotides) under Bombyx mori (domestic silkworm). Its description in RNAcentral is "ovarian small RNA-18455". Lineage: Eukaryota; Metazoa; Arthropoda; Insecta; Lepidoptera; Bombycidae. The record is from RNAcentral.